This 661-nucleotide ribosomal RNA is filed under the name Meloidogyne incognita (southern root-knot nematode). Its description in RNAcentral is "partial large subunit ribosomal RNA". It matches the Rfam family "Eukaryotic large subunit ribosomal RNA", at positions 361 to 883 of the family's 3401-position model. Lineage: Eukaryota; Metazoa; Nematoda; Chromadorea; Rhabditida; Meloidogynidae. The record is from RNAcentral.
AAGUUGCAAAGCACUUUGAAGAGAGAGUUAAAGAGGACGUGAAACCGGUAAGGUGGAAACGGAUAGAGUCGGCGUAUCAUUCAAGUAUUCAGUUACAUUAUUUUUAUGUUGUGACCUCUGAGCUCCAGAUUGGGACAGAGGGAAUCAGCAUAAUUUUUUGUGGUGCAUUUACUUGAUUGGUGCUUGGGGAUGUUUGAGGCAGAUUUGUUUCCGUCGUUUUGAGGCCAGCUUGCUGGUACCCAAACGGUGUUAGCAUUUUUUGUCUUGGGCAUUUGAGUAUGGCUCACGUGUAUUUAUUGGACAGAUCUGAGUGUAAGUUACGGUCGCAUGCGACACGUGCUUUUCAAUUAGUUCGGUCCAGUUAAUGCUCUCGUACUCGUUCCCCAUGUAAAAGCCGGUCAUCUAUCCGACCCGUCUUGAAACACGGACCAAGGAGUUUAUCGUGUGCGCAAGUUUUUGGGUGUUAAAAACCUAAAGGCGAAAUGAAAGUAAAUGGCUCUUUAGAGUCUGAUGUGCGAUCUUGUAAAAAAGUGCAGCAUGGCCCCAUUCUAACUGUUUACAGUAGGGUGGCGGAAGAGCGUACGCGGUGAGACCCGAAAGAUGGUGAACUAUUCCUGAGCAGGACGAAGCCAGAGGAAACUCUGGUGGAAGUCCGAAGCGG